GAUGAAGAACGCAGCGAAAUGCGAUAAGUAAUGUGAAUUGCAGAAUUCAGUGAAUCAUCGAAUCUUUGAACGCACAUUGCGCCCGCUAGUAUUCUGGCGGGCAUGCCUGUUCGAGCGUCAUUUCAACCCUCAGGCCCCCAGUGCCUGGCGUUGGGGAUCGGCCGCUGGCGUCCUUCGGGGCGCCUGGCCGGCCCCGAAAUCUAGUGGCGGUCUCGCUGUAGUCCUCCUCUGCGUAGUAGCACAGCCUCGCAACUGGAACGCGGCGCGGCCAUGCCGUAAAACCCCAACUUCUGAAUGUUGACCUCGGAUCAGGUAGGAAUACCCGCUGAACUUAAGCAUAUCAAUAAGCGGAGGA
This 355-nucleotide unclassified non-coding RNA is filed under the name soil metagenome. Its description in RNAcentral is "partial contains 5.8S ribosomal RNA, internal transcribed spacer 2, and large subunit ribosomal RNA". The stretch from base 1 to 120 matches the Rfam family "5.8S ribosomal RNA", at positions 35 to 154 of the family's 154-position model. The record is from RNAcentral.